This is a long non-coding RNA of Oncorhynchus keta (chum salmon), 626 nucleotides long. RefSeq lists it as uncharacterized. The record is from RefSeq and is a predicted model, not a curated record. Lineage: Eukaryota; Metazoa; Chordata; Actinopteri; Salmoniformes; Salmonidae. The transcript is spliced from 5 exons.
ACUAGUUUACAUACACUGAGGUUGGAGUCAUUAAAACUAGUUUACAUACACUGAGGUUGGAGUCAUUAAAACUAGUUUACAUACACUGAGGUUGGAGUCAUUAAAACUAGUUUACAUACACUGAGGUUGGAGUCAUUAAAACUAGUUUACAUACACUGAGGUUGGAGUCAUUAACACUAGUUUACAUACACUGAGGUUGGAGUCAUUAAAACUAGUUUACAUACACUUAGGUUGGAGUCAUUAAAACUAGUUUACAUACACUUAGGUUGGAGUCAUUAAAACUAGUUUACAUACACUUAGGUUGGAGUCAUUAAAACUAGUUUACAUACACUUAGGUUGGAGUCAUUAAAACUAGUUUACAUACACUUAGGUUGGAGUCAUUAAAACUAGUUUACAUACACUCAGGUUGGAGUCAUUAACACUAGUUUACAUACACUGAGGUUGGAGUCAUUAAAACUAGUUUACAUACACUUAGGUUGGAGUCAUUAAAACUAGUUUACAUACACUUAGGUUGGAGUCAUUAAAACUAGUUUACAUACACUUAGGUUGGAGUCAUUAAAACUAGUUUACAUACACUGAGGUUGGAGUCAUUAAAACUAGUUUACAUACACUUAGGUUGGAGUCAU